This 707-nucleotide ribosomal RNA is filed under the name Pseudomonas sp. Its description in RNAcentral is "bacterial SSU rRNA". It matches the Rfam family "Bacterial small subunit ribosomal RNA", at positions 359 to 1064 of the family's 1533-position model. Lineage: Bacteria; Pseudomonadati; Pseudomonadota; Gammaproteobacteria; Pseudomonadales; Pseudomonadaceae. The record is from RNAcentral.
UCUAGGCACCUGGGCGAGCCUGAUCMGCCAUGCCGCGUGUGUGAAGAAGGUCUUCGGAUUGUAAAGCACUUUAAGUUGGGAGGAAGGGCAUUAACCUAAUACGUUAGUGUUUUGACGUUACCGACAGAAUAAGCACCGGCUAACUCUGUGCCAGCAGCCGCGGUAAUACAGAGGGUGCAAGCGUUAAUCGGAAUUACUGGGCGUAAAGCGCGCGUAGGUGGUUUGUUAAGUUGGAUGUGAAAGCCCCGGGCUCAACCUGGGAACUGCAUCCAAAACUGGCAAGCUAGAGUACGGUAGAGGGUGGUGGAAUUUCCUGUGUAGCGGUGAAAUGCGUAGAUAUAGGAAGGAACACCAGUGGCGAAGGCGACCACCUGGACUGAUACUGACACUGAGGUGCGAAAGCGUGGGGAGCAAACAGGAUUAGAUACCCUGGUAGUCCACGCCGUAAACGAUGUCAACUAGCCGUUGGAAUCCUUGAGAUUUUAGUGGCGCAGCUAACGCAUUAAGUUGACCGCCUGGGGAGUACGGCCGCAAGGUUAAAACUCAAAUGAAUUGACGGGGGCCCGCACAAGCGGUGGAGCAUGUGGUUUAAUUCKAAGCMWCGCGAAGAACCUUACCAGGYCUUGACAUGCARAGAACUUUCCARASAUGGAUUGGUGYCUUCGGGAACUCUGACACAGGUGCUGCAUGSCUGUCRUCMRCUCGUG